UACGGAGGAUGCAAGCGUUAUCCGGAAUGAUUGGGCGUAAAGCGUCCGCAGGUGGCGAUGUAAGUCUGCUGUUAAAGAGUCUAGCUCAACUAGAUAAGAGCAGUGGAAACUACAUAGCUAGAGUACGUUCGGGGCAGAGGGAAUUCCUGGUGUAGCGGUGAAAUGCGUAGAGAUCAGGAAGAAAACCAGUGGCGAAGGCGCUCUGCUAGGCCGUAACUGACACUGAGGGACGAAAGCUAGGGGAGCGAAUGGG
This 253-nucleotide ribosomal RNA is filed under the name uncultured bacterium. RNAcentral describes it as "partial 16S ribosomal RNA". It matches the Rfam family "Bacterial small subunit ribosomal RNA", at positions 524 to 776 of the family's 1533-position model. The record is from RNAcentral.